RNAcentral lists this ribosomal RNA (244 nucleotides) under uncultured bacterium. RNAcentral's name for it is "partial 16S ribosomal RNA". It matches the Rfam family "Bacterial small subunit ribosomal RNA", at positions 95 to 339 of the family's 1533-position model. The record is from RNAcentral.
CCGGCGCACGGGUGCGUAACGCGUAUGCAAUCUACCUUAUACAGGGGAAUAGCCCAGGGAAACUUGGAUUAAUGCCCCAUAGUAUCAUUAAGUAGCAUUACUUGAUGAUUAAAGAUUUAUUGGUAAAAGAUGGCUAUGCGUCCUAUUAGCUAGAUGGUAAGGUAACGGCUUACCAAGACAGCGAUGGGUAGGGGCCCUGAGAGGGGGAUCCCCCACACUGGUACUGAGACACGGCCCAGACUCC